This is a long non-coding RNA of Bombus huntii, 494 nucleotides long. RefSeq lists it as uncharacterized. Lineage: Eukaryota; Metazoa; Arthropoda; Insecta; Hymenoptera; Apidae. The transcript is spliced from 3 exons. The record is from RefSeq and is a predicted model, not a curated record.
CUGUUGAACGCGCAUUACAUUGAUUGAGUAGACAGUGACGUAACUGUCUAGAAAAUUUUGAUACAUUAUAUAGAUUUAAAUAUUUGCUAAAAAUGUGGUAUAAUGCUAUGAUACCAUUAGGUAUAAUAGGAGUACUUACAGCAUUACCUGCUUACAUUUCACCAUACAUAAAUAAGUUUUUUAUCGGGAACCGAAAUGGAAGAUUGUACAAUAACAAUAUAAUUGAGCAAGUGGGAUAUGCUAGAGACUAUGAAUUUGGUGGUAAACGAAUUUGGAAGUUUAAUGGUUUGGAAGUCAUUCCUGACAAAUAGAGUCAUAUAUAUGCCAGUACUGUAUUAGUCUAUCUUUAUUAUCUUGGUGAAUGUAUUAUGUAAAUAUAACAUUAUAAUAUAUAUAUAUAUAUAUAUAUAUAUAUAUAUAUAUAUAUAUAUAUAUAUAUAUAUAUAUUAUAUUAUAUUUAAUAUAAAAUAUUAAUAUAUAUGUGUAGUGAAUGA